GACGAACGCUGGCGGCGUGCCUAAUACAUGCAAGUCGAACGCAGUGGGGACGGGUGAGUAACACGUGGGUAACCUCCCAUCAGAGGGGAUAACACUUGGAAACAGGUGCUUAACUGCAACUGAUGGAUGUACUCGCGGUGCAUUAGCUAGUGGGUGAGGUAACGGCUCACCAAGGCCACGAUGCAUAGCCGGUCUGAGAGGAUGAUCGGCCACACUGGGACUGAGACACGGCCCAGACUCCUACGGGAGGCAGCAGUAGGGAAUAUUCGACAAUGGACGAAAGUCUGACCGAGCAACGCCGCGUGAAUGAAGAAGGUUUUCGGGUCGUAAAGCUCUGUUGUUAGAGAAGCGGUAUCUAACCAAAAAGCCACGGCUAACUACGUGCCAGCAGCCGCGGUAAUAC
RNAcentral lists this ribosomal RNA (403 nucleotides) under uncultured bacterium. Its description in RNAcentral is "partial 16S ribosomal RNA". It matches the Rfam family "Bacterial small subunit ribosomal RNA", at positions 28 to 526 of the family's 1533-position model. The record is from RNAcentral.